GAACUGGAGCUCAAACAGACUCAAACUCUUCUUCUGCUCUUUUCUCAGACUCGGUGCUCGGAGGCCGGAAAGGUUCCAGGAAGUGUCCGGAGCUGAUCCGUAGAAAUGAGCAGGAUCAGCGUCUCGGUGGGCGGAGGCCUGCAUCUUUACUUUGAGCGACGGCUCCAUCUGUCAACACCAGCGGCCAAAUGUCAGUUAAACUGCAGCUGAGACUCCGGCGGGAAGCGGCUCGCUGUGAUUUGACUCAUUUAUUUUUUAUCACCGCGCCGUCAUUUCACUGUGGCAGUUUUCAGCCGCCGCUGAGGAAAAGGUCAACGUCUGGAUCAACCACUCAGCCCCCGAUCCUCGGAGAUGCUUAAUGAAACCAUUUUCUUCUGUCUCCAAAAAUGUGGCCCUGAAAAAUAAGAACUUUUCCUGCUCCUGCUGUCUCCUUGAGUAGAAUAUUCGGACCUGUCUCCAGCUGAAGAACUGAACAUGAGCCGACGUGUUCUCUGCCACAGGAGUCUGUGUCUCUGCUGACGUGAGAGAACAGAAGCGUGUUUGUUCUCUGUGCAGCUCUUUGAUGAGAAAGCCGCAGUAACGACAUCUCUGGACAUGAAUCAUUCUCCAUCACUGCAGCCGACGGUCCCCACAAAGACACCGAAACCUUAGUGUGUGUUCACAUAUCUUUGUGAGGA
Non-coding RNA from Paralichthys olivaceus (Japanese flounder), 677 nucleotides. The record is from RefSeq and is a predicted model, not a curated record. Lineage: Eukaryota; Metazoa; Chordata; Actinopteri; Pleuronectiformes; Paralichthyidae.